Molecule: long non-coding RNA, 481 nt
Filed under: Rattus norvegicus (Norway rat)
Lineage: Eukaryota; Metazoa; Chordata; Mammalia; Rodentia; Muridae
Description: long non-coding RNA NONRATT025731
Source: RNAcentral
AUCAGCUCUCAGGUCUGAUACCAGACGGUUCCCAGGAUGAAGGGGACCUGGGGCAGGGAAGAAUGAAGCUGAGACGCAGAGUAUCGCUUUGGUGCCUCUGUCUGCUUUGUACCUACAGCCUUCUCUAAGGAUAGGUCUCAACUGUGAUCCAAACUCAUUAAGAACCAGGAGGCAGAAUGGCAUCCCAGUUGCACGUGUCAAGGAGCUCUGCAGGUAAAACAGAACCAGGAGCCAGAAUAACAUACCAGUUGCACUCGUCAAGGAGCUCUGCAGAACCAGGAGCCAGAAUAACAUCCCAGUUGCACACAUCAAGGAGCUCUGCAGAACCAGGAGGCAGAAUAUCAUCCCAGUUGCAAACAUCAAGGAGUUCUGGAGAUGAAGCAAAAGAUGCUGAACUCAAAAAGGAAAGACCCUACAAGAUCUUUUUCAAAGAUCUCUUCCUUUUCAAAGAAAAUGAAAUUGCUGCAAGGAAAAGGGUAAG